AGUCAAGUAAUUAAGUGCAUGUGGUGGAUGCCUUGGCAGUCAGAGGCGAUGAAAGACGUGAUAGCCUGCGAAAAGCUCCGGGGAGGCGGCAAAUAUCCUUUGAUCCGGAGAUGUCUGAAUGGGGGAACCCACCUACUUUAAGGUAGGUAUUGCAACAUGAAUACAUAGUGUUGCAAGGCGAACGAGGGGAAGUGAAACAUCUCAGUACCCUUAGGAAAAGAAAUCAAUUGAGAUUCCCUCAGUAGCGGCGAGCGAACGGGGAUCAGCCCAUUAAGUUAUGUGUGUUUUAGUGGAACGCUCUGGGAAGUGCGAACGUAGAGGGUGAUAUUCCCGUACACGAAAGGGCACACAUAAUGAUGACGAGUAGGGCGAGGCACGUGAAACCUUGUCUGAAUAUGGGGGGACCAUCCUCCAAGGCUAAAUACUCCUGACUGACCGAUAGUGAACCAGUACCGUGAGGGAAAGGCGAAAAGAACCCCUGUGAGGGGAGUGAAAUAGAUCCUGAAACCGCAUGCAUACAAGCAGUGGGAGCACCUUCGUGGUGUGACUGCGUACCUUUUGUAUAAUGGGUCAGCGACUUAUAUUCAGUAGCGAGGUUAACCGUAUAGGGGAGCCGUAGAGAAAUCGAGUCUUAAUAGGGCGUUUAGUUGCUGGGUAUAGACCCGAAACCAGGCGAUCUAUCCAUGAGCAGGUUGAAGGUUGGGUAACACUAACUGGAGGACCGAACCCACUGUCGUUGAAAAGCCAGGGGAUGACUUGUGGAUAGGGGUGAAAGGCUAAUCAAGCCUGGUGAUAGCUGGUUCUCCCCGAAAGCUAUUUAGGUAGCGCCUCGGACGAAUACCAUAGGGGGUAGAGCACUGUUUCGGCUAGGGGGUCAUCCCGACUUACCAAACCGAUGCAAACUCCGAAUACCUAUGAGUACUAUCCGGGAGACAGACUGCGGGUGCUAACGUCCGUAGUCAAGAGGAAAACAAUCCAGACCGCCAGCUAAGGCCCCAAAAUCAUAGUUAAGUGGGAAACGAUGUGGGAAGGCAUAGACAGCUAGGAGGUUGGCUUAGAAGCAGCCACCCUUUAAAGAAAGCGUAAUAGCUCACUAGUCGAGUCGGCCUGCGCGGAAGAUGUAACGGGGCUAAAACUAUGUGCCGAAGCUGCGGAUGUAUACUUUGUAUACGUGGUAGGGGAGCGUUCUGUAAGCCGAUGAAGGUGUGUUGAGAAGCAUGCUGGAGGUAUCAGAAGUGCGAAUGCUGACGUGAGUAACGACAAAACGGGUGAAAAACCCGUUCGCCGAAAGACCAAGGGUUCCAGUCCAACGUUAAUCGGGGCUGGGUGAGUCGACCCCUAAGGCGAGGCCGAAAGGCGUAGUCGAUGGGAAAAUGGUUAAUAUUCCAUUACUUCUGUGUAAUGCGAUGAGAGGACGGAGAAGGCUAAAUCAGCCUGGCGUUGGUUGUCCAGGUGAAAGGAUGUAGGCAUGUAUCUUAGGCAAAUCCGGGGUACUCUAUGCUGAGAUCUGAUAGCAAGCUGUACUUGUACAGCGAAGUGGUUGAUGCCAUGCUUCCAGGAAAAGUCUCUAAGCUUCAGUUACACAGGAAUCGUACCCGAAACCGACACAGGUGGUCAGGUCGAGUAGACCAAGGCGCUUGAGAGAACUCUGCUGAAGGAACUAGGCAAAAUGGUACCGUAACUUCGGGAGAAGGUACGCUGUUGUUGGUGAUGGAACUCGCUUCCUGAGCUGACGACAGCCGCAGAAACCAGGCCGCUGCAACUGUUUAUUAAAAACAUAGCACUCUGCAAACACGAAAGUGGACGUAUAGGGUGUGAUGCCUGCCCGGUGCUGGAAGGUUAAUUGAUGGGGUUAGCGUAAGCGAAGCUCUUGAUCGAAGCCCCAGUAAACGGCGGCCGUAACUAUAACGGUCCUAAGGUAGCGAAAUUCCUUGUCGGGUAAGUUCCGACCUGCACGAAUGGCAUAAUGAUGGCGGCGCUGUCUCCAGCAGAGGCUCAGUGAAAUCGAAAUCGCUGUGAAGAUGCAGUGUACCCGCGGCUAGACGGAAAGACCCCGUGAACCUUUACUGCAGCUUGACACUGAACUUUGACCUUACUUGUGUAGGAUAGGUGGGAGGCUUUGAAGCUGGAACGCUAGUUCCAGUGGAGCCGUCCUUGAAAUACCACCCUGGUAAUGUUGAGGUUCUAACUCUGUCCCGUGAUCCGGGACGAGGACCGUGUCUGGUGGGUAGUUUGACUGGGGCGGUCUCCUCCUAAAGAGUAACGGAGGAGUACGAAGGUGCGCUCAGCGUGGUCGGAAAUCACGCGUAGAGUAUAAAGGCAAAAGCGCGCUUAACUGCGAGACCCACAAGUCGAGCAGGUACGAAAGUAGGUCUUAGUGAUCCGGUGGUUCUGUAUGGAAGGGCCAUCGCUCAACGGAUAAAAGGUACUCUGGGGAUAACAGGCUGAUACCGCCCAAGAGUUCAUAUCGACGGCGGUGUUUGGCACCUCGAUGUCGGCUCAUCUCAUCCUGGGGCUGAAGCAGGUCCCAAGGGUAUGGCUGUUCGCCAUUUAAAGAGGUACGCGAGCUGGGUUUAGAACGUCGUGAGACAGUUCGGUCCCUAUCUACCGUGGGCGCUGGAAAUUUGAGAGGAUCUGCUCCUAGUACGAGAGGACCAGAGUGGACGACUCUGGUGUACCGGUUGUGACGCCAGUCGCAUCGCCGGGUAGCUAUGUUCGGAAGGGAUAACCGCUGAAAGCAUCUAAGCGGGAAGCCUACCUCAAGAUAAGAUUUCCCUAGGACUUUAUGUCCUCUAAAGAGCCGUUCGAGACUAGGACGUUGAUAGGUUGGAUGUGGAAGCAUAGUGAUAUGUGAAGCUGACCAAUACUAAUUGCUCGUGAGGCUUGACUAU
RNAcentral lists this ribosomal RNA (2891 nucleotides) under Acinetobacter baumannii. RNAcentral's name for it is "23S ribosomal RNA". It matches the Rfam family "Bacterial large subunit ribosomal RNA". The record is from RNAcentral. Lineage: Bacteria; Pseudomonadati; Pseudomonadota; Gammaproteobacteria; Moraxellales; Moraxellaceae.